RNA transcript from Arachis duranensis, 2501 nucleotides. RefSeq lists it as uncharacterized. NCBI's taxonomy places the organism in Eukaryota, Viridiplantae, Streptophyta, Magnoliopsida, Fabales, Fabaceae. The record is from RefSeq and is a predicted model, not a curated record. The transcript has 5 exons.
ACACUAAUUUUUUUUUUUUCAGAGACCCUUCCUUACUCAAUCCUAACAUUCACCCACUAAACACUUACACUCAACCUUAGAAAACCCAUUUUCGUCACUCAAACAUCUUCAUCACUGAAUCCUCGAAAAACCCUCGCAACUGUCCUCUCUCGCAACCCUCGCAAUCAACCAUCCAUUUGUACUGCCUCCGUCGGUGUUGCCUCUGUCGGCGCACCCUCCAUCGGCGCGCCCUCUCGCUCGCAAGCCUCCGUCAGCGCUCACUCUCGCUCGCUAGCCUCCCUCAACGCUCACUCUAUCUUGCAAACCCUACCUCCGUCAAUGGUCUCGCUCUCGCUCUCUCUCUCUCUCUCUCUCAUUGUUGCCUCUCCCUCAAUUGGCACUCAACCCUCACCAUAACACAAGAAGGUUCCUAUUAAUCUAUUUCUAUGCCUGUUCUUAUUUCCUAAUUAAUUCUCUGCCAUAGUGAGUGAAUGUUGUGAUUAGUUUAUUCUCUACCAUGAACAAGACGAUUCCAAGAAAGAGGAGAAGGAACUUUUUGCCAAGGUUAACAUGCUCAUGGAGAAGAUCAUUUCUGCGCCUGAUAACCCUAAGCCUGCGAUUCUCCGCGUCCUGGCCUCUAUCCUCAAAAAUGCAAGAGUCACGAAUGUAGAUACGUGGAAGAGAAUGGUGAUUCUUCUUCAAGUAAUGCCCGUGCUUCCCAUAACAUUGGUCGCCUUGGGAGCUUAAUUCAGGUAUUUUCACCUAAAUGGUCUUUUUUUUAAAUCUCUUUAAUGGAGCUUUUAAUGAAGCUAAGCUUUGAUGUUAAAUGCUAAAAUAGAAGUUAUCCGACAUGACCAUUGUCCAUAAGAAAAUGACGAGUUCUUUGAGUUGAUAUCUUUGAAGUUUCCGGCAGAAUCGAUGUACUUAACUGCCGUUCAAGCUGCCACUUGUACACUGCUCUUAUGUUGUUCAUUGACUUGGAUUGUAAGAAUGAUUUUUUAUGCGAGUCUUUUUUUUUCAAUGUAUGUUACGCAUGAUGUGAUGGAGUGUAAAUGUAUAGUAUCCUCAUGUUUUUGAGGAACAUGUACUGGAUUGCAUCAAAGAAUAGGUGCUAGAUCAUAGUGGUAGACUAUCUGCUGAAGAGCAAAAUCUAAAGCAUAACUCAGGGAGAAGGGGUGCCUCAGAUUCUGAAAUGUUAAAAACCUAUUCAACAGGAGUUCUUGUCCUGUGUUUGGUUAGAGGUCAAGUUAUGGAGGAUGUAUUGACAUCUGGAUUGUCAGCUAAGCUCAUGCGUUAUCUCCGUCUGCGUGUGCUUGGUGAGACAAGUAGCAGCCAAAAAAAAAUUACUCAUGCAACAGAUAGUAGGCAUGCAUCAGGGAAUAGUUUAGUUUGAGUUAGAGAUGAUGGUCGUGGAAGAUUUCGAUGUUAGACGGGUGCCUGAUUCUAAAAUGAAUGCAAGGAUAACUUCAAAUGAUUCUGUUUUGGAAAGAGGGGAUGAUGAUGAUUGCUAUAGAGACUGUCGUAUUAAAAGUAGAGAUAUUUCUGAUAUUAUUUGGAAAGCAAUUUGUGCUGCUGAAGCUGAAGCCAGAUCUGCCAAUGCACCUGAUGAAGCUGUUAAAGCAGCUGGUGAUGCAGCUGUUGACCUUGUUAAAAUUGUAGCUUCAGAGGAGUUUAAAUCCGCUAAUGAUGAAGAUGCUGCUUUUUGGCUGCUUCAAAGGCUGCAUCCACUGUUGUUGAGGCUGCAUCUAUAGUUGAGGUUUCAAGUUGCUUUGAAUUCUUCAAUCAUAGGAGAUUGCAAAAGGAAGUGAGCGAAACAGAGGGUUGCUGAACCAAAUAGAGUUUUCAUGGAGCAAACAAAGAGGUUACUGAACUAGACAGAAAUUCCCCUAGAUGCCAAGCCUUAAGCCACGUUCAAUGUGCCUCACCUCAUGUUGAACGUGCCACUUAUGAAGCACCUCCAGUGUCCUUACCAAGCUUCACAUCCAACGUAGGAAGCCCCACGUCCAAUGUGUUAAACCUCACAUUCAACUUGCUUGGCUUCACGUUGAACGUGCCACACAAAGGCACCUCCAGUGGCUUCAACUUGCACCCCACGCCCAACGUGCUGCAUCCCUUGUUCAACUUGCCUCUUGGUGCAUCCAACGUGCCUUCAAUCCACACCUCCAGGGGCCUGUAUUCCUUUCUAUGCUAUGCUAUGCUAUGCGUUGAACGUUCCAUCAAGCACACCUCCAAGGGCUGCUUUUAGGCCUUGCGUUCAACAUGGCUCUUGUGCGUUGAAUGUGCCACUUCGGCCAACCUCCAAGACCUCCUAAUUGUCUUCACUAAUCUCCAAACUUCAAGCACCUAAUUGGAUGAUCCAAGAUGAUGUUGCAAGUCUAUGAUUUUAACAAAGCACUCCAUCAAGUUUUGAAUUUCAAUUACAAGGAAGAUCACUAGACUUAUUAGAAAAGACUUAUUAAUGAGAUUGGAUUUGAUUUAGUUUCUUUUUGAACGAUUUUUUGAAUUCAGAAUUAUUUCUUUUA